Molecule: long non-coding RNA, 336 nt
Filed under: Piliocolobus tephrosceles (Ugandan red Colobus)
Lineage: Eukaryota; Metazoa; Chordata; Mammalia; Primates; Cercopithecidae
Description: lncRNA (ENSPTEG00000027649.1)
Source: RNAcentral
GCACUUCUUGAUGUGUGGUGCUAGGCCUGGAGGUGUGGAGGGCCUUCUGACUCCUUGCGGGUGAGUUAUGCAUUGAAGUGAGACGUGCCGAGAACUCAAGCUGACCACUGGAUGUCAUGCCAAAGUUGGCAGCAGGUCCUAGAGGUAUCUGGCUGCUAAGCAACCCCGUUUCAAGGAGGAAGUUGGGAAAGAGGAGCAUCAAUUAUAACCAAGGCCUAUAUUCAUCUGGAUCAGUUCAAUGUUUGCAAAAAUUGAAGUUACUGUACGUCAUUUUUUAAGAUUUCUGACUGUGGGAUUCACAGUUGAAAAUGCAGUGAAAGGUGAUGUGACUGUGGG